GAAGAUCCAAAGGUGGACAUUGAGUGGCCAAGGCUAUAAAUAGAAGGGUAAUCCCCUCAUUUUCACUCACCACACUACAAGCAAACUCAAGAGCUUUCACUCCACACUUGCACACACGUUUUUUGCCUCCAAGCUUCCAAGCUUUCAAGUGUUCAAGUGUCCUAGCUUUCCAAAGCUUCAAAAGCUCUCCAACUUCUUCUUCUAAUCUUCUUGUUCAUCUCUACAAGUAAGAAGUGUUGUUUGCUUAAAUAUUCCACUCCUCUAAUCACCUCUUGUGUGUGUCCACUUUGGUUGAGAGGGUUGUCUCAAUAGUGCCAAAGUGUGAGAGAAGGUUUUCGAGCUCAACCAUAAAGUUCUAGUUUGGUUUUAUAAAGUUUCCGGGAAAACUCUUAGGUCGAAUCUACCUUGAAAGAUUUCUAGAUUUUUAAGAGUUCCUUGAUACUCUAAGGUACUAACUUACCCGUAAAAGUUAGAGGUUCUUAAGAGUGCCCUCGAUACUCUAAGGUGUGAGUCUACCCGUAAAAAAUUAGUUCCUAAGCGAAGUAGCCUUAAAGCUUAGAGAGGUUUUUAAGAGUUCCUUGAUACUCUAAGGUACUAACUUACCCGCAAAAGUUAGAGGUUCUUAAGAGUGCCCUUGAUACUCUAAGGUGUGAGUCUACCUGUAAAAGACUGAUUCCUAAGCGAAAUAGCCUUAAAGCUUAGAGAGGUUCUUAAGAGUUUUCUUGAUACUCUAAGGUUUUGCCAUAACCUUUAGGCGAGUGAAUUCCGACAGUUGGUCGGGACUGGACUAGCCCUUGUUUGGGUGAACCAGUAUAAAUCUCUUGUGUUGUUCUUUGUUAACUUUAGUUUUUAUUUUUCAUCUAAAAACAAUUAAACAACACUUAAUUGAAAAGGAUCCCUCUUCCAGUUAUCUGGUCAAAUACAGAGGUUGACUACUUUACGCAGAUCCCUCAUCCAGUUAUCUGGUCAACUAUCUGAGGUUAUAUUCAUUGCUUUAAAUCCUUAUUCAUAUAUUUGUUCAAGCAUUUACUUAUCAUAUAUAUCUAGUUAUCUGGUCAUUUACUUGUUUAUCAAUAUAUCCAGUUAUCUGGUCAUUUACUAUACAAUACAAUUUGUGUUUACAAUAUAACUUAGUACUCAUAUACUAUAGUUACUUGUAAAACACUAUCAAGCAAGUUGACUCAGUAUUCAUAUACUGUGGUAAGCUUCGAAGAGUAAUAAUUAUAUUAUUAUAUCAAUCAAAUUUGUAAUAUCUCUAUAUCAUUAUUAUUCAACCAUUUGUUUAUUAAGUGUUUACAGGUAAUUUCGCAAUCAACCUGUAUAAAUCGAAAAAAGACUAUUAUCCCUCCUUAUAGCCUCGGAUCACGAUCCAACACAUGGCACACGCAACUGCUGAGAUAACCUUUGUUCAAUAUUUAUUAAAUGAGUUUAAAAUCAAACCAACAAGAGAAGUAUUAAGGUCUACUGGACCAACAAAAUACUUUUUUGGGCUCAACCCAACUGUGAUGAACUUCAUCACAACCCUAGGUAUAAAAGACUAACUCAGUUAGCCGACAGAAGAUAGCUCUCGACUCUCAUCUUCCGCACUCUGUAAUAAUCUAGAUUUCGAUCAUCAAUAUAUUCCGCACUCUGCUGGCCAACUCUUGUGUGUGUAUCUUGCUUCGCUUCAUCUUUCUCAUCUCUCUCACACACCGCGUUCUCCACCUCACUACACGCCGUUUACGGAUUCUUCAAAAAGUAAUUCUCCAUUAUGAUUUAUGACAAUGUAUCAGCUAUUAAUAGAGUCAACAACCAAAUAUUCCAUGGAAUUGAAGAACCAAACAUAUAAAGAUCGAAUGUCAUUUCAAUUAGGUUCAAUAUCUUUGGCUUUCAACGGAACAAUCAAUCAACCAGCUGAUCUACUGACCAAACCACUAGGAGAGAAGGAAAUACCUAGAUUUUUUGUUAAGUUGAAUGUCAUAGAUCCAUACAAGAUUAAUUAAGCUUAAUCUUAAUCUUAUUCCUAUUUUUAUUUUGUAAUUAAUUGAUCCACAGAUCAUGUAUUAAGCCCAAACUCAUGUUAUGGGCCCAACUAGACAGCUUUUAAUAUAAAAGAACGUCUAGAGUUUCUUUUCUACGGCUUCCAAAACCCUGUCUAGGGUUUUUCACGAAAUAUGAAGGCUCCAUUGAUACCAAGAAGAGUUAAAUCGUUGGAGUUGACAGAACUUGAAAAGUGAAGAAAAUAAGGUAAUUACAGUCAAAAUCUUGGUCGAUCAGUAUGACUAUUAACUUGCAAUGACGUAUGUAAGUAACACCUUUAGCAUCAGGAUUUCAUCUAACAUGCAGUAACAGAGUACAUAACAGGUAUGCCAAUAAAUAUUCAAAAUUCGUAACGAUUUCGAAUACUUAAAAUACUAUCCGAAGUUAAAC
This 2409-nucleotide long non-coding RNA is filed under the name Zostera marina. RNAcentral's name for it is "long non-coding RNA (ZMAR_LNC001897)". Lineage: Eukaryota; Viridiplantae; Streptophyta; Magnoliopsida; Alismatales; Zosteraceae. The record is from RNAcentral.